This 66-nucleotide transfer RNA is filed under the name Dipodomys ordii (Ord's kangaroo rat). It matches the Rfam family "tRNA". Rfam says of the family: Transfer RNA (tRNA) molecules are approximately 80 nucleotides in length. Their secondary structure includes four short double-helical elements and three loops (D, anti-codon, and T loops). Lineage: Eukaryota; Metazoa; Chordata; Mammalia; Rodentia; Heteromyidae. The record is from Rfam by way of RNAcentral.
GGUGGCUCAGUGGCAGAGCGCUUGCCUUGCAAUGCAUGAGACCCUGAGUUCAAUUCCUCAGCACCA